This 70-nucleotide transfer RNA is filed under the name Salix viminalis (osier). It matches the Rfam family "tRNA". From Rfam's summary of the family: Transfer RNA (tRNA) molecules are approximately 80 nucleotides in length. Their secondary structure includes four short double-helical elements and three loops (D, anti-codon, and T loops). Lineage: Eukaryota; Viridiplantae; Streptophyta; Magnoliopsida; Malpighiales; Salicaceae. The record is from RNAcentral.
GGGAUUGUAGUUCAAUCGGUCAGAGCACCGCCUGUCAAGCGAAGCUGCGGGUUCGAGCCCGUCAGUCCGA